This 583-nucleotide ribosomal RNA is filed under the name uncultured eukaryote. Its description in RNAcentral is "eukaryotic LSU rRNA". The stretch from base 195 to 349 matches the Rfam family "5.8S ribosomal RNA". The record is from RNAcentral.
ACUAGUGAUUUCCGUAGGUGAACCUGCGGAAGGAUCAAUUAUACGAAUCCAACCAUCCAAACCAAUAAUUUACUGUGAGUUGCUUCGGCAAUUCGAUGGCGUUUGGCGGCUACCGCGACGGUAGUUGGCUUCUCGCCGGUGCUCACCAUUUUUUUUUCAACCGUAACAUCAUCAAUAUUUUUUGUUGUUUUCACAACUUUUAGCGAUGGAUGUCUCGGCUCAGGUAACGAUGAAGGACGCCGCAAAAUGCGAUAAGCGCUGUGAAUGGCAGAAUUCCGCGAAUCAAUAGAAUGCUGAACGCAUACUGCACUUUCACUUUAUAAGUGAAAGGAUGUCUGGUUCAGGGCUUUAAAACUAUUAUGCCUCCAAAAAUGCAGUUUUCUAAACUGCUAUUUGGUGUGCGUUCUUGUGUGUUAGCGACGUCCAUCCGUUGACGCAUGAAAUUCAAAAGCUUUUAGCUGACUCAGAUCCUACCUGGAUACAAGCUCUGCUUUUUCGGUGGGAUUCUGAUGGCAAAAGUUUCAGUACUUUUUUACAUGGCAUGAACUCAGAUAAGAUUACACGGUGAAUUUAAGCAUAUCAA